AAGCCAUCGGAGCAUCCCGGGCCACUGAAAAGAAGCCAGCCUUCUAUUAAGGUCAAGCCGUUUUUCCCAUCAAAGGUUUUCAGUUCAAUUUUCCCCCUAGGGUGCAUUCAUCUUGCAUCCAUUGUGCGUUGUAAACACAAAGCCGAUUGGCCCCAGAAGCGCACGAUGACAGAAUUACUUCAUUUUUACACAGAUGAGGUCCAUUUUAGCCCUCUAUUCUGAUGCUCUCCUGGAGCUCAGAACCGAUGAACUUUCCGAAUAUUCCCCAUUGAGGCAAAGUGUUAGACGCCUUUAUGGCACUCGGGGUGUCUUUAAAGUCUCUUUAUUCCCGCGUUUGAUUCAUCGGUUCCUCCUCUUGCUUCUCCAGGCGAGCGUGAAGGGCAACGGUCGCCUGGUCCACGGCUACCCCUCCAUCAUCGAGAAGAAGAAAGGCCCGGAGGAGGAGGGGGGGGGCGAGGAGGAGGUGGAGGAGGAGCAGGACAACAACCAUGAAGAGGAGGGAGACGAAGAUGACGAUGGCGAAGAAGAGGCGGGGAGUCCCUCGCCCGCGCUGGAGUGGGACCAGGUGGUGUACCUGAGGGACGGCGACAAGGGCCCGGGCCCCGGCGGGAAGGGCCCCGGGGGGCCCCGGAGGAAGAGGAGGAGUCAGCGGGGGGCCCUGGUCACCCUGGACCCGUUGAACCUCAGCCCCAGGGUCGUGGACGGUACGGAGGACAUCGAGGGUCAGGAGGGCUCCCCGGCCUUCUCCUACCCCCCCGGCCUGGCCUGCCCCGGGGCUCCGGCCUCCGCCACAGACAUGCUGCAGGUCAGCACCGCAGAGCUCGCAGCCAAGGCAGAGGAGACCAGAGGCCAGCUACGACACCUCGACCAGGAGGUAGGACCCUGGGUGUGUGUGUGUGUGUGUGUGUGUGUGUGUGUGUGUGUGUGUGUGUGUGUGUGUGUGUGUGUGUGUGUGUGUGUGCCAGUUUGGCUCCACCGUGACUCGACCCGGUGUUCUGUGACUCAGGUGAGCUGCGGGUGUGCCAGGUACGUACACCAUACGGUGUCAGCGGCGGCAGUAGAUGGUUAGGGGGUGGAAAGGGAUUGGGACAGUUUGGAAGAAAUUCAACAUUCCCAAUGAUGAAUUGGUGGGUGGCCUAAAGGAAGCUGCUG
Molecule: long non-coding RNA, 1152 nt
Filed under: Gadus morhua (Atlantic cod)
Lineage: Eukaryota; Metazoa; Chordata; Actinopteri; Gadiformes; Gadidae
Description: lncRNA (ENSGMOG00000027200.1)
Source: RNAcentral